GAUGAACGCUGGCGGCGUGCUUAACACAUGCAAGUCGAACGAUGAAGCCCAGCUUGCUGGGUGGAUUAGUGGCGAACGGGUGAGUAACACGUGAGUAACCUGCCCUUAACUCUGGGAUAAGCCUGGGAAACUGGGUCUAAUACCGGAUAGGAGCGCCUACCGCAUGGUGGGGGUUGGAAAGAUUUAUCGGUUUUGGAUGGACUCGCGGCCUAUCAGCUUGUUGGUGAGGUAAUGGCUCACCAAGGCGACGACGGGUAGCCGGCCUGAGAGGGUGACCGGCCACACUGGGACUGAGACACGGCCCAGACUCCUACGGGAGGCAGCAGUGGGGAAUAUUGCACAAUGGGCGAAAGCCUGAUGCAGCGACGCCGCGUGAGGGAUGACGGCCUUCGGGUUGUAAACCUCUUUCAGUAGGGAAGAAGCGAAAGUGACGGUACCUGCAGAAGAAGCACCGGCUAACUACGUG
RNAcentral lists this ribosomal RNA (466 nucleotides) under uncultured bacterium. RNAcentral describes it as "partial 16S ribosomal RNA". It matches the Rfam family "Bacterial small subunit ribosomal RNA", at positions 28 to 507 of the family's 1533-position model. The record is from RNAcentral.